This 301-nucleotide ribosomal RNA is filed under the name uncultured bacterium. Its description in RNAcentral is "partial 16S ribosomal RNA". It matches the Rfam family "Bacterial small subunit ribosomal RNA", at positions 509 to 807 of the family's 1533-position model. The record is from RNAcentral.
CAGUCGCCGCGGUAAAACGAAGGGUGCAAGCGUUACUCGGAAUUACUGGGCGUAAAGCGUGCGUAGGUGGUGGUUUAAGUCCGUUGUGAAAGCCCUGGGCUCAACCUGGGAAUUGCAGUGGAUACUGGGUCACUAGAGUGUGGUAGAGGAUAGUGGAAUUUCCGGUGUAGCAGUGAAAUGCGUAGAGAUCGGAAGGAACAUCUGUGGCGAAGGCGACUAUCUGGGCCAACACUGACACUGAGGCACGAAAGCGUGGGGAGCAAUCAGGAUUAGAGACCCCGGUAGUCCCUGUCUCUUAUAC